UACUCCCACAGGCCACAGGUGAGGUUUAGGAAAUCAUUUCCUCUCUCUCUCUCUCUCUGAAUCUAGGGUUUUGUCACCACCCAAAUUCCGCCCAAAAUCCAAUGUCGAUUCCGCAAGAGUUGUACCCAAGCCAAGACGACCUUCCCUACGAAGAAGAGCUCCUCCGCAACCCCUUCAGCCUCAAGCUAUGGUGGCGCUACCUCGUCGCCCGCACCGACUCCCCCCACACGAAGCGCUUCACCAUCUACGAGCGCGCCCUCAAGGCCCUCCCCGGCAGCUACAAGCUCUGGUACGCCUUCCUCCGCGAGCGGCUCGAGCUCGUCCGCCCCCUCCCCAUCACCCACCGCGAGUACCAGAAGCUCAACAACACCUUCGAGCGCGCGCUCGUCACCAUGCACAAGAUGCCCCGCAUCUGGAUCAUGUACUUGCUAACCCUAACCGAGCAGAAGCUCGUCACCAAGACCCGCCGCACCUUCGACCGCGCUCUGUGCUCUUUGCCAGUGACCCAGCACGAUAGGGUUUGGGACCCCUACCUGGUUUUCGUUAGCCAGAGGGGCGUCCCGAUAGAGACCUCGCUUAGGGUUUAUAGACGGUACUUGAAGUACGACCCCUCGCAUAUAGAGGAUUUUAUCGAGUUUUUGGUGAAUUCGGGCCUGUGGCAAGAGGCCGCGGAGAGGUUAGCCGGGGUUUUGAACGACGAUAGGUUUUAUUCGAUUAAGGGUAAGACUAAGCAUAAGCUGUGGCUGGAGUUGUGUGACUUGCUUGUGCAGCACGCGGAUGUGGUUUCUGGGAUGAACGUGGAUGCGAUUAUUCGAGGAGGGAUUAGGAAGUUUACGGAUGAGGUUGGGAGGCUUUGGACCGCGCUUGCGGAUUAUUAUAUCAGGAGGGAGUUGACAGAGAAAGCUAGGGAUGUGUUUGAGGAGGGGAUGACUACGGUUGUCACGGUUAGGGAUUUUAGUGUGAUUUUCGAUGCCUACGCGCAGUUUGAAGAGACCGUGCUUCUUGUGAAGAUGGAAGGAGUAAGCGAGGAUGAGCUAGACGAGGGUGAGGGAAACGGUGAAGAGGAUGAGGACGACGACGAUGAUGAAGAUGACCGUUUGCAUGUGGCGAAGAUUGAGAGGAAGCUGAAGAGAUUUUGGUUGUCUGAUGAUAAAGAAGUUGAAUUGAGAAUGGCCCGGGUCGAGUAUCUAUUGGAUAGGAGGCCAGAACUGGCUAAUAGCGUGCUUCUUCGCCAAAACCCGCAUAACGUAGAGCAAUGGCAUCGGCGAGUGAAGCUUUUCGAGGGUAACCCUACAAAGCAGAUUCUGACUUACACAGAGGCAGUGAGGACAGUUGAUCCUAUGAAAGCUGUGGGGAAACCUCAUACACUGUGGGUUGCUUUUGCCAAGUUGUAUGAGGAUCACAAGGAUGUUGUCAAUGCAAGAGUGAUUUUUGAUAAGGCGGUUCAGGUCAACUACAAAACCGUUGAUAAUUUGGCCAGUGUUUGGUGUGAAUGGGCUGAAAUGGAACUUCGGCAUAAGAACUUUAAAGGGGCUUUGGAGUUGAUGAGGCGUGCAACAGCUGAGCCUUCAGUGGAGGUGAAACGGAGAGUGGCUGCUGAUGGCAACGAACCAGUGCAGAUUAAGUUGCAUAAAUCCUUGAGGCUUUGGGCAUUCUAUGUUGAUUUAGAGGAAAGCCUUGGAACUUUAGAGUCAACUCGUGCGGUUUACGAAAGGAUAUUGGAUCUAAGAAUAGCCACACCACAAAUCAUAAUUAACUAUGCUAUGCUUUUGGAGGAACACAAAUAUUUUGAGGAUGCCUUCAAGGUUUAUGAAAGAGGCGUCAAGAUUUUUAAAUAUCCACAUGUUAAGGACAUAUGGGUCACUUAUCUUUCCAAGUUUGUUAAAAGAUAUGGGAAAUCAAAAUUGGAACGUGCGCGAGAGCUGUUUGAGCAUGCUGUUGAAGUGACCCCAGCUGAAUCUGUGAAACCAUUGUACCUUCAAUAUGCUAAAUUAGAGGAGGAUUAUGGUCUUGCAAAGCGAGCAAUGAAGGUUUAUGACCAAUCUACAAAGGCGGUUCCGCCCCAUGAGAAAUUGAGCAUGUACGAGAUCUACAUAGCUCGUGCCGCUGAGAUAUUCGGUGUUCCAAGAACAAGGGAAAUAUACGAGCAAGCCAUAGAAUCUGGUCUUCCGGACAAAGAUGUCAAGACCAUGUGUAUGAAAUAUGCUGAGCUGGAGAAGAGCCUUGGAGAAAUAGAUCGUGCUCGUGGGGUUUUCAUAUAUGCAUCUCAGUUUGCGGAUCCGCGAUCAGAUCCUGAUAUAUGGAACAAAUGGAACGAUUUUGAGGUGAACCAUGGUAAUGAAGACACCUUCCGAGAAAUGCUAAGAAUUAAAAGGAGUGUUUCUGCAAGUUAUAGCCAGACACAUUUCAUCCUUCCCGAGUAUCUGAUGCAAAAGGAUAAGCAGCCAAAUCUCGACGAAGCAAUGGACGCACUAAAAAAAGCCGGUGUUCCAGAAGACGAAAUGGCUGCUCUAGAGAAGCAAUUAUUGCCUGAUGCCGGUAAAACUGCUACCAAAGAUAGUAACAGGAAAGUAGUGGGUUUUGUGAGCGCGGGAGUGGAGUCUCAGACUGAAGGAGGAUUAAAAGUUGCUGCAAAUCACGAGGACAUUGAGCUACCGGAAGAGAGUGACUCGGAAGAUGAUGAGAGAGUUGAGAUUGCACAAAAAGAUGUUCCCUCUGCCGUUUUUGGUGGUUUAGUUAGGAAGCGGGAAGAGGGCGACAAUAAUGAUGGCAAUGGAGAUGAUAGCGCUGCUACUAAAGAUACAGAUGAUGGGGCCCGUCUUGGCGCACUUGAGAGAAUAAAAAGACAAAGGCGAGGAGCAAUGGUUUGAAAACACUUCACACAGAUGAUUUAUUCAUGGAAAUGUACUUACUGCCAAUCUUAAUAGUCCGGUAAGUGCUGUUUACAGUUGUGCUGAUUGUUUAGCCGAGCUGAAAGCGUGUGACGUGUUGCAAUGUCAUUGGAUGGUGAUGAAUCAGGGCUUCAUGACUGCCCAAUCAAAUGGUGGCCCUCAUCGGUAUUGGACAGGUCCAGGUCGCAGCGCUUUUGAUUAACCAGAAGAAUGAAAAGAUUUCAAAUUUUCUCAAUGGAGCAUCAUCCAUGGUCCAUCCCACUUUUGAAGAUUGUUUGCUAGGAAACAAGAUGGUGGAGAUGUUGGCCAUUCAUCCAACUCCAAAAGAGACACGGAUGAGUAUAUACGUGCGGACCUAAUUUUUUUUUGCGUGUUCCGCCAAACUACAUGCAGAUAUCGACUAAUACUCUUCUGCACUAGGUAUUUUUGUGGGGUUCAUGACUGAAUGUGUGGACUCGUGUCAUGACUCACGUGAAUAUUCGUGGUGUUGCUACUCUUAUGUACUCAAAAUCAUGAAGCACGAAGUUUUGUGCUUAAAGCGACUGCCAUGUGAACUUGGUGGUGUGUAAUGAUUGUGAUGGUGGACAAUGGACACUGCUAGUCUGGGAGUGAUAAUUGUCGACAAGAAACGGGGGAAAUGCAACAUAGAAAGGGGCCCAAAUUCCACCUUCCGAAAGGGGAAAGACAUACUACCUGCAACUAAAAAGACAUAAAGUUUAUGUUCCAUAGGAUGGUAAUGUGCAAAAGGCCAAAAACUAAUUCUAUUUGAACCGGAAAUUCGAAAUUAGGUAGGAUUUGUGACUUGUGUGGGUUGAAGUAGAACCACUCAGUGUUAAUCCUUAAUUUCCAUAGGUACCUGAGAUCCAAUCGCUGGUCAAAGACAAACAAAAUCCUAAAACACCUCCAAACCCGAAAUGCCUAAUCUGUCACCACACCUGAACAAACCUCUGCCCAAAUUGCCAUCCCACUGAAGAACCCGCCGUAUGUUGCCGAUCCCAAAAAUGCCCC
RNA transcript from Rhododendron vialii, 3899 nucleotides. RefSeq lists it as uncharacterized. The transcript has 6 exons. The record is from RefSeq and is a predicted model, not a curated record. NCBI's taxonomy places the organism in Eukaryota, Viridiplantae, Streptophyta, Magnoliopsida, Ericales, Ericaceae.